GGAUGCUGCACGAUGUGGGGCGCAGCAUCCCCGGUGCGCAGGCGACCGUUACUUCCAACCCAAGGUGGUUACGCGGGUUCGAAUCCCGCCGCCGUCCAC
Molecule: transfer RNA, 99 nt
Filed under: Dactylosporangium vinaceum subsp. matsuzakiense
Lineage: Bacteria; Bacillati; Actinomycetota; Actinomycetes; Micromonosporales; Micromonosporaceae
Description: Dactylosporangium matsuzakiense tRNA-Leu
Source: RNAcentral